CUACGUGCCAGCAGCCGCGGUAAUACGGAAGGUCCAGGCGUUAUCCGGAUUUAUUGGGUUUAAAGGGAGUGUAGGCGGUUUGUUAAGCGUGUUGUGAAAUUUAGAUGCUCAACAUUUAACUUGCAGCGCGAACUGUCAGACUUGAGUACACGCAACGUAUGCGGAAUUCAUGGUGUAGCGGUGAAAUGCUUAGAUAUCAUGAAGAACUCCGAUUGCGAAGGCAGCAUACGGGAGUGUAACUGACGCUUAAGCUCGAAGGUGCGGGUAUCGAACAGGAUUAGAUACCCUGGUAGUCCGCACAGUAAACGAUGGAUGCCCGCUGUUAGCGCCUGGCGUUAGCGGCUAAGCGAAAGCAUUAAGCAUCCCACCUGGGGAGUACGCCGGCAACGGUGAAACUCAAAGGAAUUGACGGGGGCCCGCACAAGCGGAGGAACAUGUGGUUUAAUUCGAUGAUACGCGAGGAACCUUACCCGGGCUUGAAUUGCAGAGGAAGGAUUUAGAGAUA
Molecule: ribosomal RNA, 505 nt
Filed under: uncultured bacterium
Lineage: Bacteria
Description: bacterial SSU rRNA
Rfam family: Bacterial small subunit ribosomal RNA
Source: RNAcentral